RNAcentral lists this transfer RNA (62 nucleotides) under Platerodrilus sp. MNCN/DNA:86739. Its description in RNAcentral is "tRNA-Glu". Lineage: Eukaryota; Metazoa; Arthropoda; Insecta; Coleoptera; Lycidae. The record is from RNAcentral.
AUUUGAGUAGUUUAAAUAAAAACAUUACACUUUCAUUGUAAAAUUAAAAUAUUUUUCAAAUA